AGUGAACGCUGGCGGUAGGCCUAACACAUGCAAGUCGAACGGCAGCACAGUAAGAGCUUGCUCUUACGGGUGGCGAGUGGCGGACGGGUGAGGAAUACAUCGGAAUCUACUUUUUCGUGGGGGAUAACGUAGGGAAACUUACGCUAAUACCGCAUACGACAUACGGGUGAAAGCAGGGGAUCUUCGGACCUUGCGCGAUUGAAUGAGCCGAUGUCGGAUUAGCUAGUUGGCGGGGUAAAGGCCCACCAAGGCGACGAUCCGUAGCUGGUCUGAGAGGAUGAUCAGCCACACUGGAACUGAGACACGGUCCAGACUCCUACGGGAGGCAGCAGUGGGGAAUAUUGGACAAUGGGCGCAAGCCUGAUCCAGCCAUACCGCGUGGGUGAAGAAGGCCUUCGGGUUGUAAAGCCCUUUUGUUGGGAAAGAAAAGCAGCAGGUUAAUACCCCGCUGUUCUGACGGUACCCAAAGAAUAAGCACCGGCUAACUUCGCG
Molecule: ribosomal RNA, 492 nt
Filed under: uncultured bacterium
Lineage: Bacteria
Description: partial 16S ribosomal RNA
Rfam family: Bacterial small subunit ribosomal RNA
Source: RNAcentral